This 497-nucleotide ribosomal RNA is filed under the name uncultured bacterium. Its description in RNAcentral is "partial 16S ribosomal RNA". It matches the Rfam family "Bacterial small subunit ribosomal RNA", at positions 28 to 507 of the family's 1533-position model. The record is from RNAcentral.
GAUGAAUGCUGGCGGCGUGCCUAAUACAUGCAAGUCGAGCGAACAGACGAGGAGCUUGCUCCUCUGACGUUAGCGGCGGACGGGUGAGUAACACGUGGAUAACCUACCUAUAAGACUGGGAUAACUUCGGGAAACCGGAGCUAAUACCGGAUAAUAUAUUGAACCGCAUGGUUCAAUAGUGAAAGACGGUUUUGCUGUCACUUAUAGAUGGAUCCGCGCCGCAUUAGCUAGUUGGUAAGGUAACGGCUUACCAAGGCAACGAUGCGUAGCCGACCUGAGAGGGUGAUCGGCCACACUGGAACUGAGACACGGUCCAGACUCUUACGGGAGGCAGCAGUAGGGAAUCUUCCGCAAUGGGCGAAAGCCUGACGGAGCAACGCCGCGUGAGUGAUGAAGGUCUUCGGAUCGUAAAACUCUGUUAUUAGGGAAGAACAAAUGUGUAAGUAACUAUGCACGUCUUGACGGUACCUAAUCAGAAAGCCACGGCUAACUACGUG